UGGGGAAUAUUGGACAAUGGGCGCAAGCCUGAUCCAGCCAUGCCGCGUGAGUGACGAAGGUCUUCGGAUUGUAAAACUCUUUUGGCGGGGACGAUAAUGACGGUACCCGCAGAAUAAGCCCCGGCUAACUUCGUGCCAGCAGCCGCGGUAAUACGAAGGGGGCUAGCGUUGUUCGGAAUCACUGGGCGUAAAGCGCACGUAGGCGGAUGUGCCAGUCAGGGGUGAAAUCCCGGAGCUCAACUCCGGAACUGCCUCUGAUACAGCACGUCUUGAGUUCGAGAGAGGUGGGUGGAAUUCCUAGUGUAGAGGUGAAAUUCGUAGAUAUUAGGAAGAACACCAGUGGCGAAGGCGGCCAACUGGCUCGAUACCGACGCUGAGGUGCGAAAGCGUGGGGAGCAAACAGGAUUAGAUACCCCCGUAGUCCCUGAGCGGGCUGGCAAGGCGCAU
Molecule: ribosomal RNA, 447 nt
Filed under: uncultured bacterium
Lineage: Bacteria
Description: bacterial SSU rRNA
Rfam family: Bacterial small subunit ribosomal RNA
Source: RNAcentral